Molecule: ribosomal RNA, 243 nt
Filed under: uncultured bacterium
Lineage: Bacteria
Description: partial 16S ribosomal RNA
Rfam family: Bacterial small subunit ribosomal RNA
Source: RNAcentral
AACGAACGCUGGCGGCGCGCCUAAUACAUGCAAGUCGAGCGAGAAGACGUAGCAAUACGUUUGUAAAGCGGCGAACGGGUGAGGAAUACAUGGGUAACCUACCCUCGAGUGGGGAAUAACUAGCCGAAAGGUUAGCUAAUACCGCGUACGCUCCUUGGACUUCGGUUCAGGGAGGAAAGCGAUACCGUGGGUAUCGCGCUCUUGGAUGGGCUCAUGUCCUAUCAGCUUGUUGGNGAGGUACGC